Molecule: transfer RNA, 66 nt
Filed under: marine eukaryotic metagenome
Rfam family: tRNA (bases 7-65)
About the family: Transfer RNA (tRNA) molecules are approximately 80 nucleotides in length. Their secondary structure includes four short double-helical elements and three loops (D, anti-codon, and T loops).
Source: RNAcentral
GGGAUGUAGCUCAGCUGGCUAGAGCGCUUGACUGGCAGUCAAGAGGUCGUGGGUUCGAGUCCCAAU